UGACCUCAAAUCAGGUAGGAGUACCCGCUG
Molecule: non-coding RNA, 30 nt
Filed under: Rattus norvegicus (Norway rat)
Lineage: Eukaryota; Metazoa; Chordata; Mammalia; Rodentia; Muridae
Also listed under: 4 other names
Source: RNAcentral